UAAUACAUCGGAACGUGCCCUGUAGUGGGGGAUAACUAGUCGAAAGAUUAGCUAAUACCGCAUACGACCUGAGGGUGAAAGUGGGGGACCGGCAAGGCCUCAUGCUAUAGGAGCGGCCGAUGUCUGAUUAGCUAGUUGGUGAGGUAAAGGCUCACCAAGGCGACGAUCAGUAGCUGGUCUGAGAGGACGAUCAGCCACACUGGGACUGAGACACGGCCCAG
Molecule: ribosomal RNA, 221 nt
Filed under: uncultured bacterium
Lineage: Bacteria
Description: partial 16S ribosomal RNA
Rfam family: Bacterial small subunit ribosomal RNA
Source: RNAcentral